This 253-nucleotide ribosomal RNA is filed under the name uncultured bacterium. Its description in RNAcentral is "partial 16S ribosomal RNA". It matches the Rfam family "Bacterial small subunit ribosomal RNA", at positions 524 to 776 of the family's 1533-position model. The record is from RNAcentral.
UACGAGGGGGGCAAAUGUUGUUCGGAAUCACUGGGCGUAAAGGGAGCGUAGGCGGGUUCUUAAGUAAGGUGUUUAAUCCCGGGGCCCAACCCCGGACCGGCACUUUAAACUGGGAAUCUUGAAUAGUGGAGAGGUCAGUGGAAUUGGGGGUGUAGCGGUGGAAUGCGUAGAGAUCCGGAAGAACACCGGUGGCGAAGGCGGUCUGCUGGGGUGAGGCUGACGCUGAUGCGCGACAGCGUGGGGAGCAAACAGG